Small RNA from Polaribacter atrinae, 79 nucleotides. It matches the Rfam family "Flavo-1 RNA". The record is from Rfam. Lineage: Bacteria; Pseudomonadati; Bacteroidota; Flavobacteriia; Flavobacteriales; Flavobacteriaceae.
AACAAGCCUGCGUUAAGGAUUGAAAUGGCAUCCUUUUUUGAGGUACGAAAAAAAGAUAUAAUGAAAAGCCUGACCUUCU